GAUGAAGAACGUAGCGAAAUGCGAUAAGUAAUGUGAAUUGCAGAAUUCAGUGAAUCAUCGAAUCUUUGAACGCACCUUGCGCCCUUUGGCUAUUCCGAAGGGCAUGCCUGUUUGAGUAUCGUGAACACCUCAACUCUCAUGGUUUGCCAUGAUGAGCUUGGACUUUGGGGGUUUUGCUGGCCUUUGGUCGGCUCCUCUCAAACGGAUCAGCUUUCCAGUGUUUGGUGGCGUCACGGGUGUGAUAACUAUCUACGCCUGUGGUUUUCUGCCAGAUAACCUUCAGCGAUGGAGGUUCGCUGGGGCUCAUAAAUGUCUCUCUUCAGUGGAGACAGCUUUUUGGACGUUUGAUCUCAAAUCAGGUAGGACUACCCGCUGAACUUAAGCAUAUCAUAAGCGGAGGA
RNAcentral lists this unclassified non-coding RNA (401 nucleotides) under soil metagenome. Its description in RNAcentral is "partial contains 5.8S ribosomal RNA, internal transcribed spacer 2, and large subunit ribosomal RNA". The stretch from base 1 to 121 matches the Rfam family "5.8S ribosomal RNA", at positions 35 to 154 of the family's 154-position model. The record is from RNAcentral.